Molecule: unclassified non-coding RNA, 357 nt
Filed under: soil metagenome
Description: partial contains 5.8S ribosomal RNA, internal transcribed spacer 2, and large subunit ribosomal RNA
Rfam family: 5.8S ribosomal RNA (bases 1-120)
Source: RNAcentral
GAUGAAGAACGUAGCGAAAUGCGAUAAGUAAUGUGAAUUGCAGAAUUCAGUGAAUCAUCGAAUCUUUGAACGCACAUUGCGCCCGCCAGUAUUCUGGCGGGCAUGCCUGUCCGAGCGUCAUUUCAACCCUCGAACCCCUCCGGGGGGUCGGCGUUGGGGACCUCGGGAGCCCCUAAGACGGGAUCCCGGCCCCGAAAUACAGUGGCGGUCUCGCCGCAGCCUCUCCUGCGCAGUAGUUUGCACAACUCGCACCGGGAGCGCGGCGCGUCCACGUCCGUAAAACACCCAACUUCUGAAAUGUUGACCUCGGAUCAGGUAGGAAUACCCGCUGAACUUAAGCAUAUCAAUAAGCGGAGG